GAUGUGAAAGCCCCCGGCUCAACCGGGGAGGGUCAUUGGAAACUGGGGAACUUGAGUGCAGAAGAGGAGAGUGGAAUUCCACGUGUAGCGGUGAAAUGCGUAGAGAUGUGGAGGAACACCAGUGGCGAAGGCGACUCUCUGGUCUGUAACUGACGCUGAGGAGCGAAAGCGUGGGGAGCGAACAGGAUUAGAUACCCUGGUAGUCCACGCCGUAAACGAUGAGUGCUAAGUGUUAGGGGGUUUCCGCCCCUUAGUGCUGCAGCUAAGGCAUUAAGCACUCCGCCUGGGGAGUACGGUCGCAAGACUGAAACUCAAAGGAAUUGACGGGGGCCCGCACAAGCGGUGGAGCAUGUGGUUUAAUUCGAAGCAACGCGAAGAACCUUACCAGGUCUUGACAUCCUCUGACAAUCCUAGAGAUAGGACGUCCCCUUCGGGGGUAGAGUGACAGGUGGUGCAUGGUUGUCGUCAGCUCGUGUCGUGAGAUGUUGGGUUAAGUCCCGCAACGAGCGCAACCCUUGAUCUUAGUUGCCAGCAUUCAGUUGGGCACUCUAAGGUGACUGCCGGUGACAAACCGGAGGAAGGUGGGGAUGACGUCAAAUCAUCAUGCCCCUUAUGACCUGGGCUACACACGUGCUACAAUGGACAGAACAAAGGGCAGCGAAACCGCGAGGUUAAGCCAACCCCACAAAU
RNAcentral lists this ribosomal RNA (690 nucleotides) under Bacillus sp. MEP_015. Its description in RNAcentral is "bacterial SSU rRNA". It matches the Rfam family "Bacterial small subunit ribosomal RNA", at positions 591 to 1281 of the family's 1533-position model. The record is from RNAcentral. Lineage: Bacteria; Bacillati; Bacillota; Bacilli; Caryophanales; Bacillaceae.